This 465-nucleotide ribosomal RNA is filed under the name uncultured bacterium. RNAcentral's name for it is "partial 16S ribosomal RNA". It matches the Rfam family "Bacterial small subunit ribosomal RNA", at positions 28 to 507 of the family's 1533-position model. The record is from RNAcentral.
GACGAACGCUGGCGGCGUGCUUAACACAUGCAAGUCGAACGGAAAGGCCCUGCUUGCGGGGUACUCGAGUGGCGAACGGGUGAGUAACACGUGGGUGAUCUGCCCUGCACUUCGGGAUAAGCUUGGGAAACUGGGGCUAAUACCGGAGAGGAGACAUCCUGAGUGUGGUGGUUGGAAAGUUUUUUCGGUGUAGGAUGAGCGCGCGGCCUAUCAGCUUGUUGGUGGGGUAAUGGCCUACCAAGGCGGCGACGGGUAGCCGGCCUGAGAGGGGGUACGGCCACAUUGGGACUGAGAUACGGCCCAGACUCCUACGGGAGGCAGCAGUGGGGAAUAUUGCACAAUGGGGGCAAGCCUGAUGCAGCGACGCCGGGUGGGGGAUGAAGGCCUUCGGGUUGUAAACUCCUUUCGCUAGGGACGAAGCUUUUUGUGACGGUACCUAGAUAAGAAGCACCGGCUAACUACGUG